RNAcentral lists this long non-coding RNA (694 nucleotides) under Rattus norvegicus (Norway rat). Its description in RNAcentral is "long non-coding RNA NONRATT019248". The record is from RNAcentral. Lineage: Eukaryota; Metazoa; Chordata; Mammalia; Rodentia; Muridae.
GCAAAGGGUGUUGUGAAUACGGCAGUAUCUGCAGCAGUCCAGGCAGUUCGAGGCAGAGGAAGAGGAACUCUGACAAGGGGAGCGUUCGUGGGAGCUACAGCAGCUCCUGGAUAUAUAGCUCCAGGUUAUGGAACUCCAUAUGGUUACAGCACAGCUGCCCCUGCAUAUGGUUAAUACUUUUAAGCAGUUUUCAGCACGUUUAUCUCACUUUAUUCUCGUUCUCCUCGGACCUCCGUAGCCAUAUCACUUGUAUAAAAUAGGCUGAGAUAUAGUGACUGUAAGCUGUGAUCUCAGUAUUCAAAGCAGUUUCUGUUCAUCGCUAGCAUUAAGGCUGCUGGAACUUUGUUCCCACACAGAACCUGCAGUUCAUGAGGUCGGCUUCUGUUAAAGGCUGUACAAAGCAGAGCAGAGAAGAGCAGUGCACUGCAGUCCUGUGCCUGCUGAUGCCAGGUCCUUUUCUGGGACUGGGGAUCAGAACAGAGGCUCUGACCAGUGGAAGCAUCUUAAGACUGAAUGUUUCCUUGCUGAUGGAAUUGGCCUUGCUGUAAAUAAAUACCCUACUUUGGGAGAUAGUAUAUUAACGGUGGCAAAAGUUAUUAAUUCACUUAGUAGAUUAAUUAUAAAAUACUGAAUAUUUGUAGGCUUUUCAAUACCACAGAAAUUGGUGUUACUUGAGGAUUUCCUCAGGUAGCAU